RNA transcript from Triticum dicoccoides, 4745 nucleotides. RefSeq lists it as uncharacterized. NCBI's taxonomy places the organism in Eukaryota, Viridiplantae, Streptophyta, Magnoliopsida, Poales, Poaceae. The record is from RefSeq and is a predicted model, not a curated record. The transcript has 9 exons.
CACUGGAUGAGCUCCACUACUUCAUCAUCCAGGAUGAUCUUGAUGGCACCAAGUAUGCGGUGCCAGAUCUGGCUGAUGACCUUCUGGGUCAUGCUCGCCACGGUCGCCAUGCUCUUAGGCACACUAUUGGAAGUUGAAGGGUUCACCUCUGGCAGCCAAAACAGUUGGUCGGAUAUUGAAGAAGGAUCUAUCUCGGGAAUAUUGGAUGAGAGUUCUUGAAAACAAUGAAUGGCAAAAAGAAAAAAAUGAUGAUGACAUUUUGCCAUCCCUAAGAAUUAGCUAUGAUUACCUUCCUUUCCAUCUGAAAAAAUGCUUCCCAUAUUUUGCCUUGUUCCCUGAAGAUCAUAGGUUUAAGAACUUAGAGAUUACAUAUUUUUUGAUUGCAAUAGGAAUCAUAGAUAAAGAUGAGAAUUACAUGGACGAACUGGUCGAUAAUGGUUUUCUGGUGAAGGUGAAUGAUGAUAGGGAGGGUGAAUACUAUGUUUUGCAUGAUCUAUUGCAUGAACUAGCACAAAAUAUUUCAUUAAAAGAAUGCCUCAAUAUAUAUAGCAGGGCAAGUUUUAUAGUUGAUUCCAUCCCAAAAUCUAUUCGUCACUUGUCCAUCACCAUGAAAAACAAAUAUGAUGGGAACUUCACAGAAGAAAUUAUAAAAUUUAAGAGAAAGGUUGACUUUGUAAAUUUGCGGACUUUGAUGAUUUUUAGAGGACAUGCGGGAACUAUUGAUGAUAUUUUGAAAGAUAUUUUUAAGGACAUAAAAGGUCUUCGUGUCUUAUAUAUAGAAGUUGAGUCCCUGGAAUAUUUACCACACAACCUUUCAAAUUUCAUCCACCUCCGAUACCUAAAAAUUACUAGAUAUAACACUAGCUCACAGCUGACUUUACCUAGCAUGUUAUCCAGAUUUUAUCACUUGAAAUUUUUGGACCUAAGUAGUUGGCAUGGUAGUGAUAAAUUGCCUAAAGACAUUAGCCACCUUAUAAAUUUAUGCUAUUUAUUGGUAACAAGGGAACUCGAUUCCAAUAUUUCGGAGGUUGGAAAGAUGAAGUCUUUAAAAGGGCUUACAAAAUUCUAUGUCAAGAAAGAGAGUGUUGGGUUUGAAUUGAGUGAGUUGGAGGAGUUAACCGAGCUUGGAGGAGAACUCAGUAUAUAUAAUCUUAGAAAUGUGGCAACCAAAGAAGAGGCUACCAAAGCCAAACUAGUGUCAAAAGGUGGUUUGAAAAAGUUGGAGCUACAUUGGGGCACAGAAUACAAUUGUUGGGGGGAACCUGAAGUCCAUGAUGAUAGUGCAGAAUUAUCAGAUGUUAUUGAAGGUCUCAGACCACACCCUGAACUUCAAUCACUUGUCAUUAAAAAUCACGGUGGUUCAACCGGUCCUAGUUGGUUGUGUGGUUCCAUUAGUGUACUAAUGUUGACGUCUCUCCACCUGGAGGGUGUUUGUUGGAGAAUUCUUCCACACCUUGGGCAGCUGUUGCGUCUCACGUCGCUCAAGUUGAUAAACAUUCCUGGAUUUGGUCAGAUUAGACCUGGCUUUGGUGGCGUUACGGAUAGAAGUUUUUUGCAGUUGAAGGAAAUUGAGCUUGCUCGGUUGCCAGAAUUUACCGAGUGGGCUGGUUUGCCUAAUGCACAUUUGUUUUCAAAGCUUGAAUACGUCGAUUGCACGGCAUGCCCCAAUCUUCGUGAGUUAUACUUCAUGCAGGAGGGCUCUGGCUCUUAUACCAGUCUAUUGACACUUAUGAUUAGGGACUGCCCUAAGUUGGUCCUGCCUCACGUGCCUCAGAUUUCUGCAGUAACUCCUAUUGAUGUGUCUGCUGGUCCUUCGGGGAGCAUGGAUCAUCCUGAACGAGAUUUGUGUUUGACGGGGUAUAGCGGUGGAUUUCAAGCUGCACCAAAAUUCACAUGGGCCCAACUCCCAAAGCUAACCUCCCUUAGGACACUUUGGAUUACAGAAGAUCCAAGCUUUAUGUCAGUUCCCCCGCUCUCCAACCUCACGUCUCUCACUGAUCUAAACCUAACGAAUUGUGAGAAUUUGGCGGUGGAUGGGUUUAAUCCACUCAUUGCAGCUGUCAACCUCGAGGUACUGAGGGUCCGCAACGGUGGAGAUCGUUUUCGCUCUGUAGCUGCGGAUCUGCUCUCCGAGUUGGCAGUGGCAAGCAUGACCAAACAAUUGUUGCCCUCUGCGGGCUGCUUUCGACUCGGAACGCUUGACGUGGAUAGCAUCUCAGCAAUGCUUGUUGCUCCCGUCUGCACUCUCCUCGCAUUUACCCUCCACUCAUUAUGGAUCAGCUGUGAUCAGCGGGUGGAGAGCUUUACGGAAGAGGAAGAGAAUGCGCUUCAGCUCCUCACCUCCCUCGGAUCCCUAACAUUCUGGGGUUGCCCGAGGCUGCCAUCGCUCCCUCGGCAAUUGCACAAACUUUCUUCACUCUGGUUCCUACAAGUCGGUGAUUGUCCUGAAAUCCGAUCACUGCCCAAGGAGGGGCUCCCCACUUCUAUGGGGAUGCUAACAGUAACCAGGUGCGCCCCUGAGCUACACGAGCAAGCCAAGGAAUUGCAAGGAACAAACCCACAUUUAGAUGUGACGUCCAAUUUGUAACCCGAGGCUUGCUUGCCUACAUGUACAGCUGCGUUCAACUUGCUAGCUGCAUGCAGCUUGUGAUUCUUUCAGCCUACCUAGGUACCCUCCUAGACAUGCAUCACUAUAUAUCUGGCUGCAACAAUUCAAGUCGGAUGCAUGUGCACUUGAGUACCGAAGUAACAAAACCAAGAUCAGCAAGUACAAGACCAAUGCCCUGCUUGGCUGAAGCAGCACACGUAUUACGGUUUUGCAUUGUAAAUUCGACACCCGUGAGGGAACAUGCAAGACCAGGUGCAACCAUCUAUGGAUUCAGCAAUCUGUACAUAUAACAUGCGUCAUCUUGGACGAUGAAACAGGGUACUGUCAGUACCUUUUAACAAGCCGGCAACAAGAUAUUCAGGUUGAUCAUUUGCUCACCAGCUCCCUACUACACCUUGAGAAGAUUGCAUAUAUGAUGAUAUAUGUUUCACUGGGCUGAUCCUUCAUAGUUUCGGUUCCUGUCUACACCUAUUGAUCGACUCAAAAACUAUCACAGGCGAAGAUGAAUUUUGCAGUCGGCAUUCUGGACUUCACUGUUCCAUCUAAACAGUGGAACCAUAGCGUUAACAGAACAACAGAAGCUUCUGUUUUUGAUCUCACUGCUUGAUGAUGAUGACUUGCUUGAUUCAUCAUGUUGCAUCAUCAUCCUUCAGGUGUUCCCCUCCCUAUCUAUUGACGAACCCAUACGCUAAGGCUGAAGUUGUAACUCAAUAUCCGAGCGGUUCUCCUGAUUCAGUGUUGUAUACAUUUCAAGGUCUUAAUAGUGAGAUGCCAUGCAAAAAAAAUAAAAUCUAUAACAAUCUAAUUUGGAUUAUGAUAAUGUUUCAGGUUUGGGAUCAACGCCUAUAUGUAGUGAUGUUUCACUAGCCAACUCAAAUACUUGGAUUAUGCAGAACAAUUUGCAGCCACCGGUGGAAUUCAGAAGUUGGUUGUUGGUCCGGACAGUAAGAGUAACCGGUGUGCCUCUGUGUGACAGAGUGCUGCGCAGUUCUGCUGCAUAAUCGAUCGACCCUAUCAAAGGUGUCUGGCACUGUCAGCCUGCCUCACUCUUGAGUCUUGACGAACCUGAAGUCCUCAACCCACUCCCCACCCUAAAAUGCAAGACUGGAAAGCAAUACAACCACUGUUUCAAAUAGCCCGCUAUAGCUCCGCUAUAGCACGCUAUAGCGUUUACAAAAGGUCUUGCGCUAAGAGACUUUGGUCCAAACAAAUGAACAAACAUUUUAAAUAGCGCGCUAUAGCUUCGCUAUAGCACGCUAUAGCAUUUGAAAGAGGUCCGACGCUAAGAUGCUUAGCGCGCUAUUUAAAACUUUGAAUACAACGUGCAACCCGCAUCUGCUCUGGCCACAUUUUACACUGGCGCCGCACGCCGCGUUGCAAGCUCGUCUCCCCGUUGUCAUUGGGCAAGCCAUCGUCGCCGGCCAGCUCCCCACCCACUCCAUGUUCCUCCGUCCACCCCCUCUCAUCUCCUUCCUCCUCCUUGUUACUGCACACGCUGAUUCAGUACGUGUAUGCAUCUACUCAAACGCCAUGUUCACACUUGUCUGCUAAACAAUGGCCCGCAUAGCUGAGCUUGUUAGUGUUCUCUCAUAUAUGGUGGAUCUUGCUAAGUAAAUAGGCAAUUUUUCGAUUAAUAUAAACGAGUAAAUCACUAGCAUGGCAUUGAUAGAAUUAAUCGCAUACUGACAUUCAAUCAUGCAAGCACAUACUGAACAAUGGCCAGUUCAGCUGAGCUUGUUAGUGUUGUCUCAUGGUGGAUCUCUCCUUCGUCCUCCGCCUACCGAUCACCACGGCAAAUCGAUUGACGGGACAGGAACAACCAUCUGCAAAACUUGGCACGCGAGAGAUGAUUGGGCCUGUUUCUGGAUGAUGAUGAUGGCGGUUUUGGAAAACCAUGCACAUGUUUCUGUAGUGUUCUUCGGUACAUCAAUUCUUCCGUACCCUUUGUAAACUUACUUCAAAGGAUGGAAUGUAAUUACUGCAGUUCGGUUCCAACAAGUAACCAAGAACCUGAGAAAAAAAGGCUCAACUGCUGUACUAACUGCUACUUCAGACUGGAGCACUGCUUCCUAUUAUGAUAUGUAAAUACUAGUAUUGUUAAGCUGCAUCCCAGUUCUAUAAAAUGUCCAUUCCUGGA